CAGCAGCCACGGUAAUACAGAGGGUGCGAGCGUUAAUCGGAUUUACUGGGCGUAAAGCGUGCGUAGGCGGCUAAUUGAGUCGGAUGUGAAAUCCCCGAGCUUAACUUGGGAAUUGCAUUCGAUACUGGUUAGCUAGAGUGUGGGAGAGGAUGGUAGAAUUCCAGGUGUAGCGGUGAAAUGCGUAGAGAUCUGGAGGAAUACCGAUGGCGAAGGCAGCCAUCUGGCCUAACACUGACGCUGAGGUACUAAAGCAUGGGGAGCAAACAGGAUUAGAUACCCGAGUAGUCCCUGUCUCUUAUAC
RNAcentral lists this ribosomal RNA (301 nucleotides) under uncultured bacterium. RNAcentral's name for it is "partial 16S ribosomal RNA". It matches the Rfam family "Bacterial small subunit ribosomal RNA", at positions 509 to 807 of the family's 1533-position model. The record is from RNAcentral.